This 265-nucleotide small nuclear RNA is filed under the name Callithrix jacchus (white-tufted-ear marmoset). Its description in RNAcentral is "7SK RNA". It matches the Rfam family "7SK RNA". Rfam says of the family: 7SK was discovered as an abundant small nuclear RNA in the mid-70s but a possible function has only recently been suggested. Two independent studies have found that 7SK RNA binds the CDK9/cyclin T complex (known as elongation factor P-TEFb). Lineage: Eukaryota; Metazoa; Chordata; Mammalia; Primates; Cebidae. The record is from Rfam by way of RNAcentral.
GGAUGUGAGGGGCAUCUGGCUGCAACACCUGUCACCCCAUUGAUUCCACUGAUCUGGCUGGCUAGGCCAGUGUCCCCUUCCUCCCUUACUGCUCCACAUGCAUCCCUCCUGAACCUGUGUGCUGAGUCAAAGAGGACAGCCAUCCCUCAGCCAAGGGCAUACCAGCUGCACUCCCCUGUGGAACCUCCAGACAAGCUCUUAAGUUAUCAGAUACCUUUGUAACUGGAAAGACUAAUUCCAAAAGAAAGGAAAUUUUUCCGUCUCU